This 68-nucleotide transfer RNA is filed under the name Mecynorhina polyphemus. RNAcentral's name for it is "tRNA-Ser". Lineage: Eukaryota; Metazoa; Arthropoda; Insecta; Coleoptera; Scarabaeidae. The record is from RNAcentral.
AGUUAAUGAACUUGUUAAAGUGUAUAUUUUGAAAAUAUAAUAAAGAGAUCUAAACUCUCUAUUAACUU